Molecule: long non-coding RNA, 35945 nt
Filed under: Setaria viridis
Lineage: Eukaryota; Viridiplantae; Streptophyta; Magnoliopsida; Poales; Poaceae
Description: long non-coding RNA (SVIR_LNC007232)
Source: RNAcentral
UGUCGUGGGAGUCCGCAUGACAAUGCUCUUGAAAAAGUUCUUCCGUGCGUGGUUCUGACUUCUGACGGUGUACUGUCGUUUGCUUGUAUAUGAUCUGUUGCGGAAAAUUGAAGUGGUGACGUUUGUUUAAUUGUUUCUAAGAGUGGUGUGCUAAGUCCACGAUUAACAAACAUUAAUAAAGAAACUAAGUCUGUAUUUGUACAGAACUGAUUUACUUUCACAUGGCAGAAAGGUCACAUAAGCACUUAACUAUGCAAUGCGCAUCAAUGUAUCAGGCAUAAAAAUAAAAACGCUGUACGACAUAAAAAAUGAGCGACUGAUGAAUGCCAUGUUCGCUCACCGGAGAAAGCGAAUGGUAAGAAUAGAUGACUGGAAGAAUAAUUUUGAAUAAUUAGCUGUAAAUCAAAUAUGGACGCACGUGCUAAGUCGAAAACUAAAACCAAAUGAACAAGUUCUAUUACCGUGAAUCUAACCAGCUGAGCUCUACUCAGUUUGCAUUUCUACAGCAUUACGUCAAGUCUUUUGUUUCCUGCCUUAUUCAUGUAAUCAUAGGUGCACCGUCACACGCGGUACGGCGGUAGCUAGUCAUCUCUUUAAAAAAGACGGCGCUGUGCUUAGACGAAGCAAGGUUUAGGCCCAGUUUGAAUCGGGUUGUGGGUUUUGAAAAUCUGGAUUUUAGAUGGAUUGUCACUUGUUAGGAUCUGGAUUCUAAGCAAAAUUUGGAUGGUGUUGUUUAUUCUAGAAUGAUUGUAUGGUUGUUUGUUGGAUAGAUGUCUUUUAUGCCCUUGCUACUCAAAAGAGUGGAGAGUGGUAGAUUGGGUAGAUUGGUGGACCUACUACUAGUCUUCCACGUGGACCCAUCUUUGAUUCCUUUCCUCAUAAGCCACUACAGGGUAUAAUGGGUAUAAUGCUUGUUUGGUUGAUUGGACAUAGCAAAAUAAAAGUAAAGUGAUACAUACAUAUGUAAGCUCCCGUUGUCUCUUCUGUAAGGGUGAAAGAGAAUGGUCCGGGCCGUCCUUUGCGAUUGCACGGCGGUUUGAAAUUUGGCAAGUGUGUGCUUGGCAUGUACUUCCUCCAUCCCUUUUUAUUUGUCGCUUAGGAAAUGUCGCUGCGACAGAUAAAAAGGGACGAAGGGAGUAGGAGCGAAAGAGAUCAAGGAGCUAGCAGGCUGUUGCCGGUAGAAGAAUAUCAUCUGCAGCUAUCUUUAGUUGAGUCAUUGCUGCGGGACCGAACCCACGUAUAAGUGACUUAAUUGUAGCUACAUCUACUGCAGAGGAGUCUCAUCUUCGUGGCUAGCUCGCGGGACUAGCUGAUGGAUCACCAUGGCAAAAGUAAAGAGAGUGCCAGUCGGAUCCGUUGCUCGGCUCGGUCGGACCUGGCUUCAUCGGGUGGCGUCGCGCCACCAGGCGCCACGUGGCAACCAGACACGCUGCUGCUACGAGACCAGCCGGUAGCCGUAGCAUAGCAGCGAGCAAGUGCCAGUCCUCUCGGCCCCACCCCCCACCUCUUCCUCCUCACGCGCUCGUCCGGCACCAAAAACCCCAAUCGCCUCCACCACCUCGUCGGUCGCCGUCGCCGCGGAGAGGCGAUCUGUGCUCAGGUGAAUAGCUAGUCCGCUUCCGCUUCCACCGCUCGUCUCCGGCCUCUCCCGGCACGCUUCGGUUCUUGAGGUGGCGGCUAAUUCGGUUUGGUUGGCGGGGAUCAGGUCAGGUCGUUUGCUUGCAGGGUGGAUCGCCGGUGGUGGGGAUCGGGAAUGAGCUUCUACUUCGACAGGCUCGAGGCCGCGCGGCGGCAGCAGCGGAUGACGGCGGGGGGCGCGGCCGUGGGAUGCGCCCCGCCCCCGCGCGCGUGGCCUUAUUAUUACCACUACCAGCACGCCGCUCUGCUUCCUCGCUCGCCGACUCUGCCCGUUCCUCCUCUUCACGCCGGCGAGGGCGGCGUGGGACACGAGCGCGGUGGUGGCCGGCGGGACACGUGGCGCGGCGGCAGCGUGCCGAGAUGCGAGGCCGGGCCGGUGAGCGCGGGCGUGGGCGCGGCCUGGGCCGGAGGGAACACGGUUUCGGUGGGCGGCGCGGAUGGGUUGGACGGCGACAGCGUGCGGGGGGUGGCCGGUUCGGUUGCGACGGCGCCGGGGCGGGAGGAGGGGGGAGGCGUCGGCGGACGCGAGGAACGCGAGGUGAGGAGAAAGAAGUGCUUGGUGGCGCCGACGCCGGACGCGCGCUGCGCGCCGCCCAAGCGGAGGGCCGUGCCCGCCAGGCGCCGGUUCCCGCCCGGCUGCGGGAGGGACGCGGCGGCGCCGCCACUCACCCUCCGCGGCGCCGGCGCCGGCGGCUCUGGCGCACUGCAGGAGUCGGGUGCUCCUCCUCCUCCCCUCGCGGGCGGCAGGGACAGAGUCCUGUUCGAAGCCGCGGCGUCUCCCAGUGCUGCUGCUGCAGGUUCGAGCGCGCUGAACAAGGCGUGUGCUGCGGACGGUGCCGCCGGCGCAACGACGGACGGCGCUCACCACUGUCCAGGGGCGGCGCUGGAGAAGCCAUCAGAGGCUCCGGGCAAAAAUUCUGUUGCUACCGCUAAUGGUGUUGCAGGGCCAGGGAGUGGUGAAUCGUCGAAGAGCAAUUGUAAUUUGGUCCCAUCCGUGCGUUUCCUACCGAAGCCGACCAUGGUUUCCGCCUACCGCCGCUUCCCACCUGGCUGCCGGAGGCUUGCAGCGCCUCUGCCCGUUGGCGGUGGCAGUAGCCGAGAGUGGUCGCCGUCGUCGUCGGAGGCAGUGCCUUCAGACCGAGAUGACAUGGAAAUAGUAGCUCCUCUGUGCAGUGGUGCUGCAAAUGGAGCAUCACAGAACGAAGGAUUGGAGGAAGGGGAGGUUGCAUCGGAGGCCCAAGAAUCUCCCAGUGCUACUCUGCACGAUGAGGCUACAGCUUGUAGGCAUGGAGCUUCUGUGGAAGUCUAUGCAAGCCAUACUUCUUCCAGUGAGGAGAUGAUUGGGAACGCAUGGAAGUGUGAGGAGAACAAGUCUGUUGGGAGUUCCUGCAAUUUUGUUGCUGAAUCUUUGGCUCAAGGUCUUGCCAAAGAGCAUCUGAACGGUGAGACGAAAUCGGUGAAGCCUCCCAAAUUGAUUCAGAAACCUGCUCUGAACACUCAAUGUAGGCCCUUCGCCAAGGAAACAGAGCAGGAGACUGAAUUUGGAAGGCACACCACGAAUGCCUCUGAGGACACUGACGAGUUUACAGACCAAGCUAUACAGGAUCCUAUUUCUGCAGACAAAUGCCACUGGACAAAGGGAAAGGAUGCUGCCACAGUUAGCAACUACUUCGGUCCCAAGAAGAAGGUGAAGGAUAAAAAGUAUUCCAUCUUGGAACAUGAUGACAUUGUCAAGGCUAUCGCUGUUCAUGAAGGCAAGUUUGAACACGAACCCCAAGAUGCAGACGCUCGGAGCAAAGUCAAGAUGCUGUGCAGAAGGUUCGAGUCCAUCUGCAGGGCCAUAGUCCAAUCCGCGGAACAGCGUUCGCUCAAGGUGAGGAGGAUCGACCUCGCAGCUGACAAACUGAUGAGGAAACUGCCAGGGUUCACCAAGCUCGGCCCCAUCGUCGGAACCGUUCCCGGAGUCGAGAUCGGCGACGAGUUUCUCUACAGGGUCCAGCUGGCCCUCGUCGGGCUCCACCGCCCGUACCAGGGCGGCAUCGACACCACCAGGGAUGACCACGGCGUGCUGAUCGCCAUUAGCGUCGUCGCCUCCGGUGGAUACCCUGACGAACUGUCCUGCCCGGGCGAACUGAUCUAUACAGGAUCUGGUAAGGAUGGUUGUGAUCAGAAGCUUGAGCAUGGGAACCUCGCGCUGAGGAACUGCGUCGAGAGGAAGGUCCCUGUCCGGGUGAUCCAGGGCUUCAAAGGUCUGAACAGGGAGGGAGGCAGCCAUUCGAGGGCCAAGGAGAUCACGACGUUCACGUACGACGGGCUGUAUCGUGUGGUGGAUUGCUGGAAGGAGGGCCGGCCGGGUUCGAAGGUGUUCAAGUACAAGCUGCAGAGGAUUCCUGGGCAACCAGGGCUUCCCCUGCACGUGGAUAAAUUCGUGAGGAAGAACAAUACAUAAAAGCUCCCGUGUAUCUUGGGGGUGCUUGGAUACACCCCACUGAAGUUUAGCACCUAUCACAUCGGAUGUUUGGAUGCUAAUUAGGUCUAUUAAAUAUAGGUUAAUUAUAAAACUAAUUGCAUAGAUGGAGUCUAAUUCGCGAGACGAAACGAAUCUAUUAAGCCUAAUUAGUCUAUAAUUUGACAAUGUGGUGCUACAGUAACAAUUUGUUAAUGAUGGAUUAAUUAGCCUUAAUAUAUUCGUCUCGCGAAUUAGACUCCACCUGCACAAUUAAUUUUGUAAUUAGCUCAUAUUUAGUCCUCCUAAUUAGCAUCCGAACAUCCGAUGUGACCCUGCUAAAGUUUAGCACCUCGUAUCCAAACACCUAAUUCCUUAUCAAUGCAACCCAGACAAUCUCUCCUGGAUGACAAGGGUUUUAAUAGUAGGACAGCAGAGGGGCCCGCAAAAACUGAUUGUAACCUAAAAAAAUGAUGGUAUAAAGAAUAUUGUUGUUCUACUUCCGAAAGAGUUGUAAUGCUUUUUUACAGGUUUGAUUAAAAAUAAGGAUUAGACACUCGACGGACGAUACGCUCAUUAAACGCACACUACCGGAGAAGUGAGGGUUUGGGCCGGUAUCAGUGCAUGGAAUUAGUACCACGUUCAAAUUUGAGCUAUUUGGAGGCCACCCGGUACUAAAAGAUAGCUUUUAGUAUUGGGCAACUCUGGGCAAAUUACCCGCUACCCAUUACCCAAACCCGAAAUACCCGGACCCGGAUCCGAAAAACCCGAACCUGCAUGCCCGAUGUUUAGUUCGGAUAGUGAUUCCUAUUACCCAAUUUUAAUUUGGAUAAUUUGGGUAACUACACCCGGUACCCGAACUAUCCGCAAUUUGAGUCAUAGCCCAAUAGGCCAAACAUCCCCCGCGGCCCAACAGGCAACAAGCCAACAGUGGCACAGGUCACUCGUCAGGCCGCACAGGCGCACAGCGGCACAGCGCAACCUCAUCCUCAUUUCCUCACCUCACUCCCUGACUCCCUGUAUCCUCCAAAACCUAGCCGCCACUCCCGCCGUCCCGCGGUCCCGGGCUCCCGGCGUCCCGCCCACCAUCCAGAGUUCUGCCGCCGCGCUAGAGCGGUACCGAAGGGGCGCGGGCGUGGCCGCGUGUAGGCGGUGACGGCGACGGCGUGAUGCGGAGCGAAGUCGUCGGCUCGUCGACGCCGCCCAUACUCCGUUGCCCACCUCUGCACCUCACUCCGACACGCGACACCUCGCAUCCCCGCGCGUCGACCUCGUCGGAGAUUGGAAACUGGAGAGGGACACCGACGCCCAGCUACUUGAAGAUUGAAGGACGGCUGCCACAUCAGAAUCCUCGUGCAAUGUAUGUAUUCCCUAACUCCUAUGGCCCUAUUCCCCUUAGUUUUUUUUUGAAUCUAUGGACUAUGGAUCUGUUAUUUGUCUAUUUGAUAUGAUCUGUGAUUUUUGAAUUUUGAUAAUAUGGUGAUGCUGAUAAUAUGGUGAUUUUUGAUAUGAUCUGUGAUUUAUGAUUAAUAGAGGCAGUGAGGCACAUGAUUUAGUUGAUUUGUUAUGAUCUGUUGAUAUGAUCUGUGAUUUAUGAUGUGUUAUUAUGAUCUGUUGAUAUGAUCUGUGAUUUAGUUUGACUUAUUAUCUUAGUGACUGAUUAUAGUGUUCUUUUUAUUUCUGUAGAUGCCAGAACCAGAGGAUAAUAUGGAAUCAGUGGGCACUGGCACUCAAUUUGAUAGUCAGGAGACUCAGGCAAUGGUAAUGGUGCCAAUGUUAGUACAUGAACAACCAUCACUGUCACCGGAGAAUCAGGAACAAGGUAAAACCGAAGGAACUAAAAAAGUGGUCAUUGAUGUGGAUGAGAAGGAAACUGAAAAAUCUCAGAGAAAGGAGUUGGCGUCAAGGUCUGAGAUGUGGCAACAUUUUAUCAAGAUCAAGGACGACAAAGGACUUUUGAAGGCUGGAAGGUGCAAAUAUUGCCAUCGUGACAUCAAGGCUGACACAAGAGGAUAUGGAACAUCUGCAUUGAAGAAACACUUUGGUACAUGCAAACGCAAUCCUCAUGUUUUCAUCAAGCACCCAAAGCAAGGCACCUUGCAAGCAUGUCGGGGGGAAGCCCCUACCACUUGGAGGUUUGAUCAAGAAGCACUUAGAGAAGCCUUUGCUGAGAUGGUAAUAGAAGAUGAGCAACCCUUUUGUUUUGGUGAGAAACUUGGCUUUAGGAAAUUUAUGUCCAAAGCAUGUCCUCGAUUCCAAUUUCCAUCUAGAAGAACUUGCACAAGGGACAUUGUACGUCGUUACUUUGAAGAGAAAGCCAAACUGAAGAAGUUCUUCAAAGAUUCUUGUCAAAGAGUAUGCCUCACAACAGAUUGUUGGACUUCUCAGGUUCAAGAUGGAUAUAUGACUAUUACAGCAACUUUUAUUGAUGAAAACUGGAAUCUGCAUAAGAAAGUGAUAGGUUUUUUUAUGGUAAAGGGUCACAAGGGGGAGGAUAUUGGGAAGAACUUCAUGAGAUGCUUAGCUGAUUGGGGUUUGGAUAGAGUAAUGACUGUAACAGUGGAUAAUGCAAGUGCCAAUGACUGUGGUGUUGAUUACUUGAGGAGGCAUCUGCAGAAAACCAACAUUGCCAAGGGCAAGUUUUUGCAUAUGAGAUGUGCAACCCACAUUGUGAAUCUUAUUGUAAGAGAUGGAUUGCAAGAAGUGGAUCUCUCUAUUAAGCGUGUUAGGGCUGCUGUUAGAUAUAUCAAAAAUGAAACUUGAUGUUCCGACAAGGUGGAAUUACACAUAUUUGAUGUUGAAGGCUGCAAUUGUGUAUGAGAAAGUGUUAUUAAAGUUAGCUGAAGAUGACACUAAUUAUGUUAUUGAUCUGUCUGAAGCAAGGGAUGGUUUUGGGCAUCCUGAUGAAGAUGAUUGGGACAAUGCAAAGAAGAUGGCACAAUUUCUACAGCAUUUUCAUGACCUUAUUGUUCCUAUCUCUUCUUCUCUCCAAGUCACUUGCAACACUUUCUUUCAUGAGAUUGGAGAAGUCCAUCUGUUGAUUCAAGAAUGGCUGAACAGUGAAGAUAAUUUGCAAGUAUCAAUAGGGAUGAGAAUGAAAGAGAAAUUUGAUAAAUACUGGGGACUUUGGCACACCAACAACAAGGACAAUGACAGGCAGCAACACGAGCAAGAUAGGGAUAAAGGGCGGAGCAAGGGCAGGGGGAAGGAGAAGGAGAAGGACAAGGAGAACAUCAAUUUAUUCAUAUUUGUGGCUGCAUUCCUUGAUCCAAGGUACAAGUUAUCUUUGUACACAAAGAUUAGCGUUGAAGAGAUAUAUGGUGAGGAAAGAUGUGAAUUGGUUUGGGCAGCAAUUAAUACUUAUGUGAGAGAGCUGUUUGAAGAAUAUAGGAACAUGUAUGCUCCAAGUGAAGAAACAACUCAAGUAAUUGAUGCUGAUCAACCUAAGGGAGGUGCAGGAGGAAUGCUUAAAGAAAAAAUCAUCAAGAGGAUGAAACUGAGCAAUUGUUCUACCAGCACCUAUAAAUCUGAACUUGAGAAAUAUCUUGCUGAAGAAACUAAAGACACAAAAAAGAAAAUGGACAUUCUUGGUUGGUGGAAAGUCAAUUCAAAUAGGUUUUCAGUUUUGAAUCACAUGACUCGUGAUGUGCUUGCUAUACCCAUCUCAACAGUAGCGUCAGAGUCCGCUUUUAGCACAGGUGGACGUAUCUUGGAUGACUUCCGUACCUCUCUUACUCCAUUCAUGCUAGAGGUACGGAGGAAUUGGCCAUAAUAGAAAAAGGUAUCAUAUUUUCUUAGUUGCUUGCAUUUGUGUAUUUACUGUAUGUAAUAUGAAAUAUGUAACUGUGCUGUGCAUUUACAGAGUGGAUAGAAGAAUAUGGCAGCAAAGGGAAAAAGAAUGAGCAGCCUUCUGUCGACGACACCUCCAAGUCACAAACGCCAAGCAACAUGGAGGACUAGAGUGUGGACUCUGGACACUCGACAGUCACUUGCUCUUGUGCCAGUUUAGUGAUGUGUUUCACUAUUUUGUUUGAACUUCUGUUCUUGUGUGAUGCGUUGGGCGUUGGCAGGCAGCAGGCUUGAAGCCUUGAACUGUGUCUUUGUGACUGUGUCGUGGACUCGUGGUUUGCACUUGCAUUGCAUCUGUGGUUGAAAACUUGAACUUAUAUUAUUCUGUCCAGUUUAAAUUCAAUGCAAAUUUUGUGAUGUUUGCUGUGAUUCUAUAAUUUCGGGUAUAUUGGGUAUACCUGAACCCGAAUCUGAAAUUGCGGGUACCCGAAAUUGCGGGUACUAUUUUUUCGGGGCUGUUAUUGGGUAAUACUGUUCAUUACCCGAAUUUCGAAAAACCCGAACUACCCAACCCGAAUUAUUCGGGUAACCCGAACGCCCAGAGUUAGUACUGGGUAGUGUUGUGAAAAAGUAUUGGGUGGUGUUGUAAUGAGACUUUUAAUACCGAGUCAUAACAUGACCCGAAACUAAAGUGUACCCUUUAGUAUUGGUGGUGUUAUAUCCGGUACUAAAAGGUUAUCCACGGGUUACUUCAAAAGAAAAAGUUUCAAAAGGAAAAUUAUCUCUUUGUCCAUCACUUGUGCUGUGUAGGUGAGAUGGUAAGGAAGGAUUGCACGUGGUUUGAGGUCCUAGGUUUAAAUCAUCGCACCGCGUACGUGCAUAUUUCGUGUGACUUGUGACUUUGGGGCGUUGCGCGUGUGUGGGAGCCUCCUAGCUUUUCAGAAAUUUUUUUCUUUAUUUUUUUUGGAUGCAAGCCGUUUAGUACCGAGUUUUUUCUUUAUUUUUAUGGGUGCAAGGCAUUUAGAGUAUCGGUUGAUCUGCCCGAUACUAAAUGCAAGAAGGACCGGUACUAAAGGCAAUCAUGGUACAUAUUUUGGAGUAGACUUUGCAAAUCGAAGGAACUUCUUGUUGUGUUAUACUUGUAUACGUAUUUGUACUCCAUUCGUUUGGUUUUUAACAGGCAGAUUAAAAUUUAAAAUGGUCUGGAUAUUAUUUUUUAAGGCAGGUCCGGAUAUUAUUUUUGACCAUCAAUUUCUCUUAUAAUAUAUCAUCAAUGUAAAUAAAUCAGCAAUAUAUUAAAAGAACUUUGAAAUACUAAUAUAUUCAUCUAACAAUGUCCAAAGUGGCAAAGUAUAUGAUCUGACUUAUCACUGGUUCUUCAAAAAUCUUAAUACGCCUAGUAGGGAAGUACGAUCUGUCCAAAGACGUGGUAUCCCAGCCGUGGACCAUGGGAGCCCACGGCCCACCCGUCGCCACGCCAUCAUCAUCAAUCCGGUGAGGCCGAUCUGCACGCCGCCGCGGGAGGCCUUUCUUUCUACUGGUGAACGGCCGUGCUCCGUCCGGCCCACGCUGCUGCGGUUCAAAACCUACGGUUCGCGAGGUGCUGUGCCUACUGAUUUGGGGGCACUUCCAUUUCAAAUUGUAGCUCCUUCCAUUUUAAAUUGUAGGUUAUUUUGGCUUUUUAAGAUUCGUAGGUAUUAUUAUACAUCUAGACAUAUGAUGCAUAAUAAUAUCUAUAAACUUAGAAAAAUCAAAAUGACCUAUAAUUUGGAACGGAGGAGUAAAUCUUUUUGCUUGAUCCUCUUCCACCGGAAACGUCCUAAUAGCUGACAACCUCGACCUUAGAGGAUGGCCACAUGCAAAGCAUUUCGGUUAAAAUUGUUGCAGCUACGGCUUAUCUUAGUCUUCUAAAUGGGUGUUUGGAUCUUUAGUCCGGACUAAAAUUCAUGUCACAUCAAAUAUUCGGAUGCUAAUUAGGAGGACUGAACAUGAGAUAAUUAUGAAACUAAUUACACGGAUGGAGGCUAAUUCGCGAGAUGAAUCUAUUAAGCUUAAUUAAUCCAUCAUUAGCACAUGUUUACUAUAGCAUCACAUUAUCAAAUCAUAGACUAAUUAGGCUUCGGAAAAGAAAAGAGGGUGGCCUGGCCCCUUUUCUUCUUAUCAUAUCACAAGGGCGCGGCUCUGUAUGGGGCUCGUACUGCGGAGCAAGUCUGGGAGUCCUUUCCACUCAUUGAGGAUUCUAUCUAAAAAAGAAGGUCAACGGGGGAGACUACAGUAGCUCGAAUUUUGCCAAUUCGUCAGUUCGAUCUAUGAUUUCGAACAAGGGAGAGGGAUAUGGAAAGGAUGAAGUAAUGCGUGAGAAUAGCAAACUCCUAUCUCUUAUAAAGUUAGAUUUGGCGAUGCCCCUUUCGGGGGGCAUUCCGAUUUCGCUAUCCAAAUCCUGCCUCAAUAUUAAUAGAUUCGUCUCGCAAAUUAGCCUCCAUUUAUGCUAUUGGUUUUGUAAUUAAUCUAUGUUUAAUACUCCUAAUUAAUAUCUAAACAUUCGAUGUGACAGGAAUUUUAGGAGCUUCUAAAGAAACAAACACCCCCUAAAACUAAAACUACAGGAACUAGAGUUGUUGAUGCUGCACCCAUAGCUGCAAAGAAUCACAGCCGAACAUAGACACCAUCUGUAUCCAAACUGUGCAACUCCUUACCCCCUGUCCAUUUAUGCAUGGACUACCCUUUUCACCCGUACGAUGUGGGCAUGGGCAGUCAAUUGACUCGACCUGUAAAUCUAUAACAAUUGUAGCCUAUCCGAUUAAGAAUCCGGUCCAAGAUUGUCAAAAAGAGCACAAACCAUCAGGCUUCCUAAUUUUUUUAGUUAAAUGUAUGGGAGGAACAAAAUCGACGAACCUUUGGAUAAUAAGAAUCACAAUAAGCUGUAGGAGUAGCUUAAUUAUCUAAUCCAGGAGGAUGUCCAACAGUUUCAAACACGUGGCUUUUGCAUUUCCUCGGAUUAGUUGUACUAUAAACUGCUAAUGCUCUUUGUUUUGUGUUUCUUUGUUGUGGUUUGGUUGCCUUUGCUGCUCGUGGCAAUUGUGCCGCCGCCUCCCUCUUUUGUUUUGGUUGCCUAGAUGUUGUUGAGCAGCUGUGGCGUUGUAGUGGUCCUGGAUGCGAGGGGAGGGGCUGGACUUUUGCUCUUUCGUUUAAUAACAAUUAUGGCAGAUCUUUCGCCAUUCUUUUUUUUAGAAAAAAAACUGCCACUAGGGAUAACGUGAAGCGAGCAUUGUCCGUUCUUUGUAUACCGGAACGAGGUACAGGGAAUUAAGAGAAAAUAUGCGUUGCAAUGCGAAUCAUAAUUUUUAACAAGUUAAUUAUUAACAACCUUAACUGUGGCUCCAAGAAUUUGAAAUUAAAUAAAUUAAUCUUCUGCAUCACCAAAGCCCGUUAGUUUUAUCUUAGUGACAUGUCAUUGGGAAUGUGCCUUCAGUACUGGGUCCAAACCCCCCUUUAGUAUCGGUUGUGCAACCGGUAUUGCUAUUUCGGUACUAAAGAGGGACAUUUAGUACCGAGUCAAAUAACUGGUACUAAAGGGUAUUAAAAAAUAAAAAAAGAAAUCCGCCGAUUGGAGCCCCAGCCGCACCCCGCCGCCAUCCGCCCGAGUGCCGGAGCUCCAGCUGCACCCCGCCGCCGUCCGCCCGAGCGCCGAAGCCCCAGCCGCACCCCGCCGCCGUCCACCCCGCGGCUGAGCCCGGCCGCACAACACCUGAGCCCCGCAUCAGAGAGAGAGGGAGGGAGGGAGGUAGCGUACUUAUGCUGCUCAGCCACCAUCGCUCCUCAGCCCGUCAGUUGCCACCGCCGCCAAAUCUGAGGGAGAGGUGGCCGCUGCUCCAAGAUCCAUGCGCUCCUUGCCCUGCCACACCUGCCGACGCUCCGCCGCUGCACCCUCCCGCCGGAGCUCCGCCACUCCUUGCUCCGCCAUGCCCUGCCGACGCUCCGCCGCCUCGCCACGCCCUCCCGUCUUGCCGACGCUGCUCCUUGAUCCGCCGUCGCUCCUCGCCACAUGUAAGAGGUGAGGGAUGAGCGGAGGGGGGAGGAGAGGGGCAACGACGGGAGGGGCGGCGAUGGGAUCUGUGUGGGGGAGAGAGGGAGGGGUUUCAGCUGGGGAGAGAGAGGGGAUUUGGCGGGGAGAAGAAGAGAGAGAGGCGUGGGUGAGAUGUCGGAUGAGGGGGACGAGCAGAUAAGUAUGGGGAGGAGGGUGAGCGUGGGGUGAGAGAGAGAAGGGGAGGCUGAUGAGGUACUCCUUUAGUACCGGGUGGAGGUGUCACCCAGACCUAUUAAUACCGGGUGACACCUCCACCCGGUACUAAAGGCCCUCAGGUACAUUAGUACCAGUUGGAGGCUUCAAUUGGUACUAAUGGGUGACCUUUAGUACCGGGUGAAGCCUCCACCCGGUACUAAAGGGGCUCACGGGGACUCCUCGAGGACUAGCCGUCAGGCCCGAUACUAAUUCUCACAUUAGUACUGGGCCAAAAUACAACCGGUACUGAGCCUCGGGACGAAUGCUGAGUUUUCCAGUAGUGUUACGCAAUUGUUCGCGUCAUUAAUACAUGGCUUAUCUCGUUCUCUCAUAAAAUUUUUAUGGCAAUGUCUCAGCUGGCAUUAUGUUUACAGUUUGUUUGUCUUCUUUUUUAUCUUUCUUCAUUUCUAUCUGUGUAGGUAAUUGAUAUAACCUCUUUACAUCAUUUUAUUAUUUUGCUCUUUUUUUUACGAAAUCAUUAGCAAGGGAGACCUCUACCCAUAUAUAUAUAUAUAUAUAUAUAUAUAUAUAUAUAUAUAAAUAUAUAUAUAUAAAAGAAAGCGUGUAGGUACAAUGGAUUUUACAUAGGCUCCAAGCCCAAAAGAGAGAAAGUAGAAAGUAUUAAAGACUACUCAACCAACAAAGAAUCUUAUCCCUGGUAGCUGCAUUGGCCCAUAGGGUCAUCAGCUGCAACUCCUCAAAAGUGCGCCUCCAGGAUGCAAAAGAUAGGGACUCUCCAUCAAAUAAUUUCAUUACGCAUGCACCAAAUAGCACAACAUGCUAUGAUGACAAUUUCUCUGAAGAUGGCACUUGCAAAUUGUUGUCUUGCAAGGAUAAUCAUGUUUAGAGAGUCAAGAUCGGUGUCCCCGUUGUUGCCUAAGAAAAUCCAGCAGGCUUGACUGAAGGGGCAGUCAAAAAACAGGUGAUUUCUAGUCUCCUCAACAUUUUCGACAUAUAGAACACAACUAUACCAGGUACAUGUGUUUCCUCCUUAGCAUAUUUUUUAUGUUCAGCCGAUCUCUCGAAAACAGCCAAAAGUAGAACUUAUGUUUGUUCUGCACUCUCGAUUUCCACAUCCAUUUGAAGAGAGGAGAAGUAGGAAUUGUACCUCGCAAGCAGGAGUAAGCCUUUUUGGAAGUGAACUCAGAUGAUCACAUUGCUGAUCAUCAAAAAGCUACCCAAGAAGCAAACCCUGGAGAUCAUUUAACUGAUCUGAUGCUAUUGCAGAAAGGGGUAAAUGGAAUUUUUUGUUCAUGGGAUUAACGAGGAACCCUUUGAUAGAAAUCUUUUCACUCCUCUUAAAUGAGAAUAGUUGGGGGAAUCUCCACCAAACAGCUCCAAGAUCCCAAAGGUCCUUCCAGAAUAGUAGCGAGUCUCCUUUCUGAACUUUACAUGAGGCAAGCAUGAAAAAGUUUUUAGUCAUAGAUAUGAUGUCCCUCCACCAGAAGGAUCCAACUUGAGAUCUAGCAUGAGGGUGUGUCCCAUUUUUAUAUAAGUGUUUCUAGGUAAGAUGGACCUAGGGAAGAUUAACAUUGUUAUAAAACUUGUGUAAGAAUUUCAGUAGCAAAGCUGUGUUUUGUGUUCUAAGAUUAAUAAUGCCCAGACCCCCUUCAUCUUUAGACCUGCAUGCAUAUUUCCAUGGAACCAGGUGACCACCCCUCAUUGCGACAUCUCCACCAUUCCAGAGGCAGUGCUUUCUGUACUUAUCAAUUUGAUCUAGGAUUUGGAAGGGCAAUUUCAUAGCACACAUGUAAAAAGUAGGCAUAGCUGAAUAUACGGAGUUUACCAAAAUUAGUCUCCUAGAAUAGGAUAGGAGCUUUGAAAUGCCCAUUAGAUGCUUCUCCAUUCUAUUUAAGAUUGGCAUGUAUUCAUUCGCUGAUGGUCUUGUGGUACCUAGGGGAAGUUCCAGAUAUGUGCAAGGCAUUGUGCUAAUUUGGCAUCCAAGACAAGUAGCCAAUUGUUCCAUUGUUUCCUGCUCAACAUCAAUAGGCACCAGAAAAGAUUGAUCAAAAUUCACCUUAAGGCUUGUUGCAACAGCAAAAGUAAUAAGGAUAUCUUUUAGAGCCAGUAACUGAUCACUAUCUGCUGGAAGAAUUAGGAGGGUAUCAUCAGCAUAUUGCACAAUAAGAUAAUCACCAUCAUAGUCUGGCCCAAAUGGAUGUGAGAGAACAUGUCUGAGAGUAGCAUCAUUGACCAUUGACUGCAGCAGAUCAGCAACUUAAACAAAGAGGAGAGGUGAAAGAGGAUCUCCUUUUCUAACACCUAUUUUGCAUUUGAAUGGCUUUCCAGGUACACCAUUUAGCAGCACUGAAGAAGAACCUGAAGAGAGAAUGAUCCUGGUCCAACUGACCCACUUGUUGGAGAAACCUUUAUGAUGAAGUAUCUGAAGAAUUACUUCAUGCUCAACCUUGUCAAAGGCUUUUUCAAAAUUCAUCUUAAGAAUGACUAUUUCCCUCUUUGAUUUGUGAAAAAUAUGCAGAAAUUAAAAUGCCCAGGCAAGACAGUCCUGGAUUGUUCUGCCCUUAAUAAAGCCAUACUGAUUAGUAUGCACUACUUGGAGAAUCACCUGCUGCAACCUGUUUGCCAAGAUCUUUGUAAGGAAUUUAAGAGAGUAAUUUAGCAAAGAAAUGGGCCCGUAGUCAUUGACAGUCCUGGGCUCUCUUUUUUGGAAUGAGAGUGAUCAAAGAACCAUUAAUGCUGGAAAUGUCCAGGUCUCCUGAAGCGAAGUCCCUACACAUCCUUAUAAUAUCCUCUCUAAUGAUGUGCCAACAUUUUUUUAAAGAAAACACCAUUAAAUCCACCAGGUCCUGGUGCUUGAUCACCAAGCAUCUCAUUCAGAAUAGCAGCUAUUUCCUCUAGGGAAAAUGGUGCAUCCAUCUCAGGCAUCAAAACUUGUUGGAUAAGAUUAGCCAGAUCAUAAUGUAUAUCUAAAAAUUCAGUUACCCCCAACCUGUCCUUAAAAGAGGUCCAAAGAGCACCAACCUUCUACUCAUGAUUAGUCAAUAUAGUGCCAUCCUGCAGGUGAAGCUCUGGAAUUGAUUUCUUUCUAUAUGAGUAAGUAGCCAUUGCCUGGAAAAGCUUAGAAUUUUCAUCACCAAAGAUAACCCAUCUGGCUGUAUUUCUCUAUUUCCAAUAGAUCCUUUUAGCCUCCAAGAGUUUACUUAGGUGGGAUUUCAAAAGGAGUCUGAACUUCUUUUCAGCAGUAUCCAAAGGUCUUUGAUCUUCUAGGCCAUCCAACAGUGCCAGGACAAAACUGCAAUUGUUGAUAAGUUUCCCUAGUUUGGAUAACUCUUUGCUCCACUGUUUGAGGCCAAAACGAACCUGCUUGAAUUUGCCAUGCAGAGUUUGAGAAGCAUUGGCAAAGAAAGGUGUGGAAUUCUAGUGAAGGUUCACCACAUCAAGAAAACCAUCAAAAUCAGCCUAAUAAUUUUCAUACUUGAAAAGGUUGGACUUGGGGAUUGAGGUUUGAAUGUUGAUAACAUAAGGAGAAUGAUCUGAAAUAGGCCUACUAAGAACCUUGGCAGAGGUGUCAGGAAAAGUAUUAGUCUAUGAGCCAGAGGUGAAAAUCUUGAAAAUCCAAUCUAGUUUUUCCAGCAGCAGGUCAAGUUGCAUGUUGCUCAAGGUAUAAUUGCGUCCAUGAAAGGCAAUAUCAACCAGGUCAAGAUGUUGAAUGGGAUCAUUAAAAGUCAUCAUGUCACACACAUUACCACCUAGUUUGUUUCUGUUCUCUAGAGUUCUAAUGAGAUUAAAAUCUCCUGCUAGGAUCCAAUCCUCAUAACUAGUGAUAUCCAAAUGAUACAACCAAAGAAUGAAAGCAGCUUUAUCAACAGAUUUAGAGGGACCAUAUAUGUUAGAUAAAUGGAAAGAAUUCCCAAACAAGUAGCAAACAAAUAUAAUGGUGAUGUAGUAAGCAUUGCUCAAAAUAAGAGACCCUGAGAAUAGAUUUGAGUUCCAAAUAACAAUUAAACCCCUAGAAGCUCCAGCAGAGGUAGAGAACUCAAACAUAUUUAAGUGUCUAGGAUAGAACUUUUUCAAAUAUGAAGAGUCAAAGGACUCUUUCUUAGUUUCCUACAGACAAAUGAUAGAGGUAGCACUUUCUGAGAUUUUGUAUCUCAGAGCAUCCCACUUAGCUUGAGAGUUGAUCCCCCUUACAUUCUAGACCAGAAUGUUAAGACUUCUGUUACUACUCAUUGGUAAACUCAGAUAAAAGGGCAGCAUCGCCUCUGGCACAACCAUGAGACAAGACCAUAUUACAGCUUAUAGAGAUCACGCAGUAAGAACAGAGUCAUAGAUAAAGCACCAACCAACUUGAGAUUAGAUUGAUGACAUGAUAAACCAAGUUUAACAGACUUUCAAAAGUACCCAAAGAGCUAAGCCAAACACUUAUCCAACUAGAGGAAUCCAAAAGCCUGGAGCACACUAGGAAACUAGCCCCAUUACAUUUCAUUGUCAUUAUCAUCACGCUCUAGAAGAGCUGAAGCAGAGAUAGCACUAGGCUGCAUCUGGAGGAAGCCAAUGGCCAUGCUCUGGAUGGUCUCAAUAGGUAGAUGUGGAGCCAGAGGAGAAGAAGAUCCCGCAGUAGUAGAACUAGCGUAGAUGGGAUGAAUCACUUCAAGUGACUCAACAUAAAAGUCUUGGUUUUCAGCAGCAGCUGCAACACUUUCCUCAGUGCGAAAGCCACCCAUAUCAGGAUUGAGGCACUUUCUUUGGCGGAGGAAGACAUCAUCCAGUGGCUCUUUGAGUUUGCGGGAGUGACGCUUGGCCAGUGUAGCAUGUAUCGGCCCUUGAAUCUCACGAACUUCAUCAUCUUCCUCUUCAUCAUCACCAUAUGGCACCAAAGGGAGCCCAUUUUUAGGGAGGGCAGGCCCAAUGAUUACCCUAGAAGGCUGAACCAAUGGGGUGAAAGGAUCAGGAAUAUGGGCCAAAUAUGACAGAAUAUCAUGAUCAUUGAUAUAUGAAGGAAUUAAGGUAUCAAGAAUAAUAUCUAAACGAUGAGAUGAGGGGAUUCUACAGGAGGUACGCCACUUUUUACUACAUUUUUGUGCAUGCAUGUGAGGUCUAGUUGGGCUCCAACACUACGGAAUCAGGAUAUUUGCCGAGUGCCCCGGGCACUCGGCGAAGCCCCAAAAACACUCGGCAAAGUGUUUGCCCUCGGCAAAGAGUAUAUGGUAAAAUAUCACUCGGCAAAGUUAACUUUGCCGAGUGUUUUUGGUCGGGCACUCGGCAAAGGGUGUGCCGAGUGUCAAAAAAAACACUCGGCAAACAAUUUUUUCAUAAAAAAUAAAAAAAAACAUGCCCAAGCCACUAGGGGUAGCUCCAGAUGGUCGCUGCCGCCACCGCUGCCGUCUCAACCCUUGCGAUGCCACCACCACGACCAGGCCAUCCGUGGCAGUUCCAGCUACUCGAAGCUGCCACCAUGCCCGGGCCAUCAGCUCCAGCUGCUCCACCACCGCCACCACCGCCUGCUCCGCCCGCCUUGGAGUGCGCCGCCGCUGCUCCAUCCCGCUGCUACCCGAGCUUCCUCCCGCUGGGGCCCCUCCCCGCCGCCACCCGAGCUGCCUCCUGCUAGGCCCCCUCCCCGGCACCGCCCGAGCUGCCUGGAGAGGAAGGGGAGGGAGCGGCGGAUCCGGGGGGAGGUGGCGGCACUGGAUCCGGGGGGGGGGGGAGGUCGCGGCGCCGGUGGAUCCGGAGGGGGGGAGGCGGCGGCGCCGGAACCGGGGGAGGCAGCGGCGCCGGAUCCAAAGGGGAGGUGGCGGCGCCGGUGGAUCCGGCUUGGAGGAGGGGCGACGCGGCGGUGGCGGCCAGAUCCGGCCCGGAGGAGGGGCGGCGCGGCGGUGGCGGCCAGAUCCGGCUUGGAGGAGGGGUGACACGGUGGUGGCGGUCGGAUCCGGCCCGAAGGAGGGGCGGCGCGGUGGUGGCGGCCUGAUCCGGAGAAGUGGCCGGGGUGGCGUCAGGAUGAGGGAGGGGAAGGGGAGGGGGCGGUGGAAACGAGGGAGGGGGAGGGAGGAGGGAAGGGGAGGGGCCGGCCGCCGGCGGGGAAGAAGAAGGGGAGGGAGGGGAGGGGUGGGGCCGACAGCGGAGGGAGGGGCCAGGGGUGCGGAUGGAGGGGGAGGGAAGGCCGGGUGCAGGAGGCGGAGGGGCUGGUGCGGGAGGAGGAAGGGUGCGGGAGGGAGGGGAGAGGCAGGUGGGCCAUUUUAGGCAAGUGGGUUUUUUUUUCCUUUGCCGAGUGUUUGUAGUAUAGCACUCGGCAAAGCACUAUUUUGCCGAGUGCCACAUGGGGAGCACUUGGCAAAGUUUUUUUUCCUUUUUCCCUCAUUUUCUACAACGUAUUCUUCUAUAUUUGUUUUGAUAAACUCAACAAUACCUCAUCAAAUUCACUCAAUAAUAUGUAUUUGAUUAUUCUACUCAUAUUAUUUCAUUAUUUUAUGCAGUUAUAGCUCCAAUUGAAUUAUAUCAAUUAAAAUUCUAUAAUUGCACUUAGUACAUUAAAAAUAUCAAACAGUUCCAAAAAAUUACCAAAAUUUCACAUGAAACAAUAUAUGUUCUCUAUUGCCUAUACAAAAAGUUUUGCAAUCAAAUCUAAAUUCGACCGUCACUUUGACUCCAAAUCUUAUCGAAUCCUUCUCAACGCUACGAUUCUUCUUCUCAAAUGCGUAAACAUUGUAUGUGAUAAAAUGUGCGAAACUUUCUCAAUUUUUUACCACAACCUCCACGUAUGAUACCAUCACAUCAUAACAAAUCUCAUAAUUUUCCGACUUUGUUUGCCUUUUUAGGUGAUGCUAAAUAGGUGAUGCUAUCCUUUUGUAUUCACAUGGGGGGAUCAUUUUUAUACUAAAGGGUCCCCCACGGGUUUACGAAAUUUAGUCCUCGGUCCAAGAUUUUUGUUGAGGAUGGAAUGUUGUUUCUCUGCUAGUGCCAAUUAAUAUUGACACACGAGAUAUGGGAAUACAGAUAAGAAGAUUCAUUUAACGUUACAUAGUAGAUUAAUCCGAAGCACUCAUGUGACAUACCCAGCGAUUGAAUCAACACUGCCGUUUGAUAAAUUAUAAUAGUUCAGUCAUGUUCUGAUGUUUAGAACACACCAGUUCCAAUAAAAACAUUCUGAAACUAACAAGGCAAAGCCAUAAAUUGUCAGACAUAUGGAUAUUUGGGAGGGAGGAGAGGGUGGCCGGCAGCCAUGGAGGGGUCGGCCGCGUGGGGGUGUUACUGUUCACACGGAGGUUAGGAGGCUCUUUUAGAAGACCGUAACAGAAGGUAAGAUGGGACUAAAUCCAUUGCCCAUUCCCUCGUAUUUAUGGGGAGGUACAAGCAAAACUAACUCGAUUUGAAUUAGAAACAAUCCUAUUUUCUACUUGAAUUAGAAACAAUCCUAUUUUCUAACUCUUUCUAAACCUUAACCUAGACGGACCCUCAGCUGCAGCACGUACAGUACAGUACAAAGAUUUAAAACUAGCCUAACCAUGCAUAUAUUCAGAAAUUCGAAACCUUAUCCCCAACAGAGAUUUACCUGUGCUCGCAGUCAUCCUCUGUUUUCUAAAUCACCUGGCUCCCAGUCCCAGUAUCUGCAUGGAAGGAGAAAUACUAUCCCGCAAGUUGAUGCUUUAAACAUAGGGUGGACAUAAAUACUACCAGAACCCGGAGUUUAAUAAUGAGAUUUAGGGAAAAAUGAAACAGCCCUUUACAACUGAAUUUUUCUUAAAUAAUUCGUGGUAAAUAAAUACACGUGGAUCAGUUAUGUACAUUGUUCAGAUACAUGAUGUACAAAUAAAUAAUCAGAACUAGAAUUUUACAAGGUUGUCGCAAAAAUGAAAAUUCUCAAGCGUUGGAUCUGGGAUCCCCGACAUGAAGGCAUACAACAACGCCAAAGAAAUUCACCUAAUCCUGAUGGGCGGCACUGCAUGAUUCAAUACGAGGAACCUUCUUUUGUGGAAUGCUGAUCCAGCCAAGAGAUUAUAUCAUCGAGAACUUGGAAAAUUGUAUCGUCCGGCUCACCUUCCAAGAUAGCGUGGUGUGCACCUUUGUAGAGGCAGAGCUUCUUGUCUUGGCUCUUUGCUUUCUUGUACAGAGCUUUACUCACGGCCGGGUCAGUAACCAAAUCAGCCUCACCGUGUAAUAUGAUUAUGGGCAGAGAAACCUGCGAAAGAUGAAGCAUGCAUCAACCAUAAAGAAAACUUAAAACAGCAAUAGUACACAUAAUUGACCAUCCGUUAUUCCAUAUUCUAACACAAUCUGUUAAAAUUGUCCUCCAAAACAGCACGCUUAUUUAUAUUGAAAUCUUAUAAAGGCAAGUGUCUUAUCUGAUCACACCUAUCUGUUCCUGUAAUGUAGGCCAAAAGAAUGAAUUUUGUUAAGAGUAUUAGAGUCCUUUUUGUAUUCCUAUUUCGCUGCUCUUGUACUCUUUAUAUAUUGCCCCCUGUGGCUAUUAUUCAGGACAAGUGCUUUUCAUAACCUGGUACAGAGCCAAACUAGAGUUAGUUGUUUUUUUCCCUUUGUCUUCCCUAGUCGUUCCCCCCUUUUCUCCACUGCAUGCCAGAUUUUGUGCAGCCCACCACCUUCAAAGUGUAAUGCUAAAAAGUCGGAAUGAAUAGAAACAAGGUAUUUCCUUCCUCACUAGAUAUAGAUCGUCAUUGGAUCCGUGCAGUCAUAAAAUUUGACGGUUACUAUAUAUAAAAAAGUGCAUGGAGUGAUCGUCGAAAGUAACACUUUGAACAUGAAAACCAUCUAAUUGGUGGCAGAAAUUAUAUAGCGAACAUGAAAACCAUCUAAUUGGUGGCAGAAAUUAUAUAGCAUGCAUGACACGUAUAAUUCAAGUAACUGGAGCAAACCAAACAUAAGCGCCACAUACUUCUUCCAGACAUCUUUCUAUCUCUUGUGAUGUAUUCAGCAUCUCCAAAGCUGUUCGGAGCCGUGGUUUAUCCUUGUAGGCGAUCACAUUGAAUGAACACUGCAUUGGUCAGUGAACUAAUAAAGUACACUCUAAUUGCAAUGCAUAAUUGCAUAGCGAAAAUUAGCAUUAACUGAGUAACUAAACAUUCAAAAGAAAUAAACCGAUUUCUCUUUCACAAGCACAAAAACUAACAGUGCCUGCAAAUACAUAUUCCUACUUUAUCUAGGAUUUCUGUAAGAUAAAAAUAGAAGUGGUAGUAAAACCAUACGGACAUUUGGUCACCUAUAUGUCACAAGUCAUUUGUUAUAUUGAUCACUGAAAAAGCUUAUUCAUUUGAGGUGGAGUCUGAAGCAAUGUUAAAUGGAUCAUAUUGUUUUUUUUAGUCUGCAAAAAUACAUGUCCUAUCAAAGAAUAUACAAGGCAGUCAAAAUGGAAGAAAAGAACGAAAUAUAACAAUUGAAUGAAAGAGUCAAAUAUUAGUUUAAAAUAAUUCAGCAUGACAGAUACUGACCUGCUCUUGUUUCUUCUUCUCUUUGAAUGCCAACUCAGCUAAAUCUUUUUGAGGAACAAGCUUUUCUUUUGGCAGAAUUUUGGCCACAAAAAUUAGUACUUGCCAAACAGGCCAAGGUGGAACCACAUCAUCUGCAAUCUAUUGAAAUGAUCUUGUGAAUUAGUGGUUAGGCAUUAACUUAUACAGAUAACAUUCUACAUAGAUAUAACUACCUUGCACAUGGGUGCAACUAGUAUUGCACCAUUCCAUUCAUUUGGUUGCUUGGAGUGAACCUUCAAUGCAACUGCUCCACCCAUUGAUUGACCAAAUAGAAAGCUCGGCAGACCUCUAUGUUCAGGAUUCCCUAACAAGAAGAAAAAAUAACAUGUUUACACAAAAAUGGUAAUCUUUGAGUUAAGAUUUUUUUUUACAAAAGUACCCAACCAUUUCUGAAAAUCAUGUGACAGAAAAAGAACAAGAAACUAGUAAGAUCAUAAUGACAGUGUACCUUUGACCUUAGCAAAGUGUUCAGCUACAUCAUUAACAAGAGUAUCAAAACUUGGAAUAUAUCCAUGAAGUCCUUCUGAAAGGCCAAAGCCAGGGUAGUCAAGUGCAUAUACUCCGUAUCCAGCUGAAGCGAUCUUCCUAGCAACCCCUAAAAUAAAAACGGUCACUAAAACCAUGCAACAAGAUCAACAGAUCAGAGAAACCACAGUACUAGCAUCGUAGAUUAAAAGCUAACCAUCAAGGAAGAAGGUACAGGUGUCUCCAUAACCAUGGCAGAGACAAACAAUUGCUUUCAUGUGAUGGUUCUCUGGAAACCAACAUUUCGAGAAAAUCUCCACGCCCCUAGAGUUACGCUCAUAUGACUGUAAAAGAAAAAAAUUCAAUGGUUUAUAAUAAUCAACAAGCUACUUGUAAAAAUAGAUCCAAAUGGCAUGUCAUCAUGCUUUCAGCGCUGGGAAUACCAUUGAGCAAAGUAAACCGUUUUACAUUUCAUGUUACCAUGUUAAAACAUCUCGCGGACACAGCAAAAGUUGUAGUUAUCUAUAAAAUAGCCAACUCCUGAAGGUUCACCACAUAUCAUAAAAAACCAACUGAAGCAAAGGAGAAACUAAUGUACGUUUGGAUACGCCCUAGGAACUUCAACAUUAUAGUGCCUUGGAAUAAUCUUUUUAUAAACAAACUUUGAAACUAUCCAAUAUUUCUGCACGGUGAUCAUUUGCGCAAAUUAGUAAAAUAUAAUAUGCCUGCUAACUUAUAUAGAGCAAAACCACUUCAAUGUCACUCAUACGUAGAGCAUGCGCUCACCAAUGGGAAAAAGGGGAAUCGACUCUACAUGGCACAAAUAAUCGACAGAAAUUUACGAAUUGCAGCUGUUAAGUUCAGGGAUCUCCUUAUUAUAAAGAAGCUGUUUAGUUUAAGGAACAGUACCUCCUUAGUUCCAAUACCACUAUGUUGUCCCUGCAUAAAACGAAUGCAAGUGAGAGAGAUCAUCCAUGGCAUGCGAAAUCACAAAGCGUGUUCACCAUCUAGUUCUACACCAUCAUUUGAAGUGAGAUGAGUGAUACUAUAGAGAAGAUUCAAACAGGUAUCUAAUGUAGUAACGACACCUCCUGCCGAUUGGUACAAGACGUUUUGAUUACAGGGUAAUCUUUUGCUGGAAAAAGGCUAGAACUAUAUUUCCGAAAACACGUUUGUAUUGCAGCCUUCUGUAAUAUGCCCCAAAUAAGUAAGCAUAAUUCACGAAAUCAGCACAUGUAUUAUCUUUGCCUAACCAAUCAAAUACCGACAUGUCAGUAUGUCACUGGGGAGUACAACCGAAAAAGGAAGGACAUAUCUUUUAGAAGUAAACAGGGCAUCGUUGUCUGUGGUUUUAAGCAUAUAUGCAAAGUAGGAUGAGGGGGAUUGACCUUGAAGAGGCAAUGGUCGAUGGAGAGCUGCACGUCCUUGAACGCCUCGCGGACGCGGCGGCGCUCGGGGGCCUGGUCCAGGCACGCCCCCAGCACCUCCCGCUCCAGCGCCUGGUCCACCAGCCCCUCCCACUUCCUCGGGGCCUGCGCCGGCGCCGCCGCCGCCGACAUCGCCGCGGCGCCCGCGCCCCGCGUCGUCGGGCGGCUGGUCAGAGGCGGAACCAGUAUAGGAGUUUGGGUCUUCGAUUUCGCGCAGCAGGACGGGAAGGAAGGGGAAUGGAUGGGCAUAACCCUGUCGGAUGCUCGUCGCCGGCGAAGCACCCGACGAAGAACUGGCGGGCGGCGCCACUGGCCGAGACCGAGAGAGAGAGAAAGAGGAGGCGUGGGAGCCCGGAUGGGGGAAGUAGACAAGAUGUGUUUUGUCUCCACGACGGACAGGCCCACGGCCCACAAAUCCGUCCACAGGCAAAGCAGGAGCAGAAGGCCCAGUUUAUAGCUAGCGCGCGAGAAAGGCCUGCUUAGUUUCUUGUUCGUCUUUUUUUUCUUCUCAUUUCUUCCUUUCCAUUCCAUCUUUCUUUUAAACAACGUUCUUUUAAUAAUUUCAAUAACUAAUAGUUUCAUAUAUCUGCUCCUUUCAACAGUUUUGAAUGUUUGUUUAAGCAUUUGGUAGAAGCUAUUUCAACAAAUUUUAACAUUUGUCCAACAUUUCAUGGUAAAACUGUUGAAAUUGUUAAUUUUAGAGGAAUUGAGCAAUGUGCCAAUAUAUUGGCAAUCAUUGACUUGACAGCAUUAUCAUGUCCAUUUGUCUCAGUUUUUAGUACUUGUAUUUAUUUAAACCAAUUGUUCUUGUUUGUUCAGUUUGAAGUAAACCAUGCCAGUGAAAUUGAUGCAAUUUUUUAUUCCAUAAGCUAUGACAAGGGAGCUUCUGUUAUUCGUAUGCUACAGAAUUAUCUUGGCGCAGAGCGUUUUCAGGUUUGAUGAUAUUUCUCCAAUGAGUUAUAUCCUAUUCUUGUAACUUUGCUGGUUCCAAUAUUUUAUCUUAUCGUUGCAUGCUAUUUAUUUCCCUUUCUUUAUUAACCUGAUAACUAAAUGUAUUCUGUGGAGUGCAUCUUAGCUAAAGGUAUCCUAACAAAUAUGCAAACCAAAUUUCUAAAGGGGAUCAUAAUUAUUUAUUGUGAUUAUGUUACUGAACAUGUUGAAAUUCUGCCUGAUGUACCUGCUGGAGAAUAGCUUGGAUUUAUAUUUCUUGAUAGAAGUGUAAUGACCAUAGUUCAUGUUUCUAACUUAUGUUUGCCUAUCUAGCUCUGUUCCUACAUUUAUUCUGCAUUUACCAACUCUUUUUUGGCAAAUGUUUACUGUUUCAGAAAGCUUUGGCUUCAUAUAUAAAGAAGUAUGCUUACUCAAACGCUAAGACUGAAGACCUAUGGGCUGUUCUUGAGGAGGAAUCUUGGGAGCCCGUUAGGAAUUUGAUGACUACAUGGACUAAGCAACAAGGAUAUCCUGUCAUUUAUGCAAAACUUAAUGAACAUGAUUUGGAACUUGAACAGGUUUGUUGACAGAUCUUUCAUUUUUCACAUGUGUCUUCAGCAAUAUACGGUACAUUAAUGGAUAUAGCUUGUUAGUUUUCUAUUUCUAUUUUGAUUACCUUUGCCUUAGUGGUUAGUGUUUCUUGUUUCUGGGACCUCUGUUUUCCUGGUAGUAGUUUUUUGUACAUCAAAUAGUUUUUUAGGGAAAUAACAUGCGCUACCCUGAGACAAAAUUCAGAUCAACAUUGGCAUCAAACAACAAUAUAAUGAUAAAAAAAGCUAGACCAAUCUUGGAGGCUAGGAGGAAUUAGGCGGCUUUAUAAUAAGAAGAAAUAGACCCAAGUUUGCCUGAGGAUCGAUCUUGGGUAUCUGGGUGUACAUCCACACCCUCAACAAACCAAGCUAAGCUCAGUCAAUAGUAAGCUAAUUGAAGUGGUUGCUUCCCUUUCCUUUAAUUUUCAAUCAUAAGUAUGUAGAGCACAGUGCGAAGCUAUCAAGAUACAUCAAGAUUCUCAGGCAUUUGACCUAGCAACAUUUUUGCUAUCUUGGCAUAUAGACUGCGAUGUAAUGUCUCAGAAGGAAGCCAAUUGUUUAUGACAUGAACUAGAAAAACACAUCUGCUUGUCCACCUCAAUGUUUACAUUAUACUGAAAGGUUGUUGCUACUUGCUAAAUUAUUUGUCUCUAAGAGCAUCUCCAACAGAAUUGUUAUCCCACUCUCCAAGCCAAAAUUUGGCAAGUCUGCUAGAAAACUACGAUCCAACAGAGUUACUAUUCGGAUGGCCAUCCCAUCCAGCUUGCCAAAUGUUCCCCCUCACUCUCCAAACUUGGCAAGCAGGUUUGGCUUGUCCAAUGUGGAUCCCACGCACAAAUUGGAGAGUAUAAAAUGGAGAGUGUGUUGUAGUGUGAAAUGGAGAAACUGUUGGAGCGGAGAGUGUAGGUUUUUAGAGAAGAAUAUUGGGAUUUGGAGAGUGAGAAAUGGAUAGUCUGUUGGAAUGAGCAUGUCAAUAUGGAGAGGAAUCUUUUUACCAACUUGGUUAGAGAAUCAACGGAAAGUCAAAAAUAGAUAAUCUGUUGAAGUUGCUCUAACACAGUUUCUUUCUGCCGGAUCCUCUGGUCCUAGCAUGUGGAUUGUUCCUAUAACAUCUUGCUGCGGCUCGUAUUAUGCACAGAAAAAGUUUUGAUUGAAAGGCAAAACUGAUAAGAUUCAUAUUGAAGAGUUCACUGCCUCUCAAAGUUCUGAUGGAGGUAAGAGUGAAAACAUUUGGAUCAAACUGAACAUCGAUCAAACUGGAUUCUAUAGAGUGAAGUACGACGAUGAACUUGCAGCUAGACUUGUAAAUGCAAUCAACAAAGCCAAAAGGCUGUCGCUAAUGGAUAAGAUUGGUAAAGAUAAGACAAAAUUUAGCACUAUUGUAUACUUUUUAAAGGUUUUUUCCCGACAAUAGCAUGUUAUUCUUGCAGGUAUUGUGGAAGAUUCAUAUGCCCUUUCUGUUGCUCGCAAGCUAACACUGACAUCAUUGCUGCAACUGCUGAAUGCUUAUCAUGAUGAGUCUGAUUACACUGUAUUAUCACAUGUAACCUCUGUAAGUAAAUCUUGCACCUCCACUAAAUUCUUGAACCUUAUAUAACCAGUCGAUCCUGCAGCAUCGGAUGUUUCCAUUAAAAGUCAUAUACAUGUAUCCUCUUUCUUUCCAGAUAUGCCGAAGCAUUUCUAAAAUAUCAUUUGAUGCCACUCCUGACUUGAACAAAGAUAUCAAACAGCUUUUGAUCAACCUUCUUCUGCCAGCUGCCAGGUAUGCCAACAAGCUUCAUAGUUUACUUGUUUUCACAUCUUUAUUUAUCAGUGUCCAACUCAUGUCUAUCCUUGUGCAUGUAAACAGAGAAAUAGCGUUGUCUUAAUUUCUGUUAAUACAAACAUUCUUGUUGAUCCCUUGUUGUGAUGGUAUUAAAAGGCUCCGUAUACCUAACAUUUCAGAAAAUUAGGCUGGGAUCCGAAGGAUGGCGAGAGCCAUCUUGACGUAAUGCUUAGAUCACUGCUCUUGAUUGCCUUGGUCAGACUCGGACAUAAUGAAACUAUAAAUGAAGGAGUUCGGCGUUUCCGUAUCUUUUUUGAAGACCACAAAACUUCCGUUCUUCCACAAGAUACAAGAAAGGUCAUAGCUAGGCUUUACUUCCUCCUUUUGCGGAACCCUUUGAUGUCUAAUAUGUUAUGUGAAAGCGAGUAUGGCUCGGGAAAGAUUAGAUUGAUUUAGAGAGGCAAAGCUCGUGUACAUAAAUAGGCAAGGAGGUCAUAGGGUUUGGUUUAUAGCAUCCGCACCAAUCAGAGACUUGCCUAAUCUAAAUCAUCCAUCCAUCUAACCUGGCGCACAACUACCCAAGGCCCAGAGGGCCAGCCAUAUAUGCCCAUGCUAACACGCCCCUAUAGUCUAAGCAUCGUCACCACGAACGUUCAGGCUGGACCGAAACUCCACGAAGACCGACGACGGAAGCCCUUUGGUGAAGAUAUAUGCAUACUGUGAAGUGGUGGGAACAUGCAGGAUCUUGACGUGGCUGUGUCGAGGGUGACACGCUCACGGAUGAAGUGGAGGUCAAUAUUGAUAUGCUUGGUGCGCUAGUGCUGGACAGGGGUGCUGGACAUAGAUUGCACUGAUGUUGUCGCAGUAGACCAAGGUAGCACGGUGCAGGGGGUAUGCAGCUCUAGCAGGAGUUGGCGCAACCAAGUGACCUCCGCCACAACGUUGGCCACAGCCCAGUACUCAGCUUCAGCACCGAAUCUGGAGACGGUCGUCUGGCGCUUGGAGGACCAAGAGAUGAGGUUCUCCCUGAAACACCGCAUAACCUGAGGUGGAUUUGCAGGUAUCAGGACAACCUGCCCCAUCAAUGUCCGAGUAUGCGAUCAGCUCAUCCACACUGGAGGGGUGCAGAUGUAGUCCCAGAUGCAAAGUACCACGGAUGUAGCGCAGGAUGCGCUUCAAGGUAGCUAGGUGCGGCUCCCACGGAUCAUGCAUGUGAAGGCAGACCUGCUGAACGACUUAAGCAAUAUCCGAUCUGGUGAAGGUGAGGUACUGUAGAGUGCAUGCCAGACUACGGUAGUCGGAUGCAUCCCGAAGUGGAGCGCCAGCUGCUGCAGAAAUCUUGGGGUUGGUGUCAACCGCUGUAGAACAAGGUUUGCACUCUACCAUACUAGCCCUGUUAAGGAUGUCCAGCAUGUAUUGUCACUGAGACAGAAGAAGCCCACUAGCAUGCCGCUGAACAUGCAUCCCCAAGAAGUGAUGAAGCUCACCCAAGUCCUUCAUGGAGAACUCCUGCUGCAAAGCGUAGAUGAUGCGCUGGAGGACGUCCAAGCAGGAGGCGGUAAGGACAAUGUCAUUGACAUAGAGGAGCAAGUAGGCCAUCUCGGCGCUGCGGUGGAACACAAACAGGCUAGUGUCGGACUUGGACUCAACAAAUCCAAUAGGCAGGAGAAAGGCAGUGAAGCGACUGUACCAAGCGCGGGGUGCUUGCUUCAAACCAUAUAGUGACUUGUUGAGGUGACAGACGAAGUCGGGGUGAGCAGGAUCCACAAAACCAAACGGAUGGGAGCAGUAGACAGUCUCAGACAAGGUGCCAUGGAGGAACACGUUCUUCACGUCGAGCUGAUGGAUCAGCCAACUGCGAGAGAGUGCAAGGGACAGCACCAUGUGGAUGGUGGCGGGCUUCACGACGGGGUUGAAUGUCUCAUUAAAAUCCACACUAGGUCGCUGGGUGAAGCCGCGAAGAACCCAUCGUGCCUUAUACCAUUCCAGAGAGCUGUCAGCCUGGAAUUUGUGCUUGAAGAUCCACUUCCAGAGCCAACAUUUGUCCUUGGCGGUCGCGGAACAAGAUCCCAGGUGUUGUUCUUCAGCAGUGCACCAUGCUCUUCCUCCAUAGCUGCCCGCCAAUUUUGGUCGGCGAGGGCGCUACGGAAGGUCUUCGGCACAGGGGACAGCGGGGCAACGAGGUACAACACAGGCUGUCGAAACCCACACUUGGCCCGCGUGGUCAUCAAGUGCUGAUUCACCAAGGAUGAAACAACCACAGUGCCCCUGGGCAGGGGCGGUGGACUAGCUAGAGAGGCGGCGGCAUGCCAGCGUAGACGUGCUAGGAACUCGUGCAGGGGACGGUGGGGACCAUCCGAGUGGUAGCCGGCGAGGGACAAGAGGCCAGCAAUGGUGGACCGCUGGCCGGAGGGCGGCGAUGGGCUGCCGGUGACGCUGGGCAAGCCAGCUAGGGCGCCUGCUGCGGGUGAUGAGGAUGGCGGUCGGCUAGUAGGUGGUGAAGAUGGGCUAGGGACGAAUGAGCAAAGAGGCCUAGCCGGCCAGGCAAAGCCCUGACUGCUGGUGGUGCACUAGUCACCAAGCCGUGGGCGGCUGGCAGCACCUACGAGGCCACCGUGCCGAGCAAUGGGCUGGCUGUGCAGGGCAGCCGACCGGCCGUGGCGGGCAACGAGAGCGACAGGGUGUCCACGGCGGGCGCCGUGGCACCGAGGGCAGCACGUGGCCGUGCGGGCAAUGCUCUUGCCGCAUCGGCCGGUGAGGUGCCGGGUGCCGCACAUGGCUGUGCGGGAGCUCCUGGGGAGAUGCCGGCAGGACCUGCAGAGAGAAGGGGGCAUGAUGGGCCUAUGGGAGUAGGCAUGACACUAGUGAGAUCAUCUAAGAAAUCGAAGGCUGCAGGGGCCUGAUCGGCAAAAGGAAACGUUGACUCGUAAAAAAUAACGUGAGGAAAGAUGAUGAUCCUGUUGGAGAGGAGGUCAAGGCAGCGGUAUCCUUUGUGAUGAGCUGAGUAUCCAAGAACGACGCACAGAGAGGAGCACGGAGCAAGCUUGUGUGCAGCAGUGGAGGAUAGGUUGGGGUAACAAGUGCAACUGAAGACACGCAAGUGCUCAUAGGAUGGUGCAAUGCCGAAAAGGGCACAGUGCAGCGUUGAGAACUGCAGUGUCUUGGUAGGCAGAAUGUUGAGCAGAUAGGUGGCUAUGUGCAAAGCCUCGACCUAGUAGGGUGGCAGGAUGGCGGCCUGAAAUAAGAGCGAGCAAAUAAUAUUAUUGGUGGAACGAAUAAUACGCUCAGUUUUACCGUUCUGGGACGAGGUGUAUAGGCAGCACAUGCGUAGGUGGGCGCCGUGGGAGAGGAAGAACAUGCGGACACUAGAGUUGUCGAACUUGUGGCCAUUGUUGCACUGGACUGCCUUGAUGUGCGUGUCGAAUUGAGUUGUCACAUAUGAAAAAAAAAAGUGAGCCAAAGUGGGAUACGUGUCAGACUUAAGCCACGAUGGGAAUGUCCAAAGGUAAUGGGUGCAAUCGUCGAGAAUGACCAAAUAGUACUUGUACCCUGAGUCGCUUACAAUAGGUGAUGUCCACAAAUCACAAUGAAUAAGAUCAAAGGCACUAGAUGCACGAGACAAAGGCACAUGAAACGGGAAAUGAAUAUGUCGACCUAACUAACACGCAUGGCAAAUAGAAGAGCUGGCUUCUUUAUUACAUGAUGGCAGGACUAAAGCGAGCUUGGAUAAAGCUUCGUGACCGGGGUGACCGAGGCGCCGGUGCCAGAGGGACGGCAAAGCACCAAUAGUGAGGGCAGUGGUGGCUGGGAAGCGGAGUGGAUACAACGGUCUGAAGCUAUUGCACCUGAGGAGAACGUUCCGAGUUCGGAGAUCCUUCACAAAGCAACCAACGUUCCGAGUUCGGAGAUCCUUCACAAAGCAACCAACGGAGUCAAAUUCAACAGAGAAGUUGUUGUCAGUGGUAAACUGGCAAACAUAGAUAAGUUUCUUAAUAAGACUUGGUGAAACAAGGAUAUUAUUGAGGCGUAAUGAACCAGGGAGAUAUGCUGCACCAGUGGAGGUAAUGGGAAGCAAGGAACCAUUGCCGACAACAAUUGAUGAAGGAAAAUGAUACUGCGGUAAAGAAGAAUGUGAAAGAAUGCUUGAAUCAGAAGUCAUGUGGGAGGUAGCACCUGAAUCAAAGUACCACUCGUGGCCCUGGGGCUGGUUCAGUGUCAUGGUGAUGAAAGUGACGCCAGGGACUGUUGAUCCCAAGACGGAGAGGCUGCCAUCGGGUUGUACCCCCCAGCUGGGGACAUCCACUGUCCGGAGUGUCGUAGGUGUACUGGAGCUAUGCUUGCGCCUGCUGGAGCUGCGGGAGGUGGGCGGUGCUGGGGAGCUGACUUGGGCGGGCUGCUGGGCCAGCAUGGCCUGCUGCGCCAGGUGGGCCUACUGAGGACCGCCGGCCUGGCCUGGCGGAAAUGGCACAGAGGGAGCGCGUGGGGCGGGCCACAUGUGAAUGGCUCUGGUCCACAGAUCCUAAGCGGUAGGUCAAGAACCGCCACCUGCGCUGCCUGGGGCCUUGCCACCACUGCUGUCGGGCACCUGGCCACCGUUGCUGGAGCCGUCGUUGCCAUCGCCGUUGUGACCCUAGUCGUCGUGCUUGCUGCGGCUGUUCUUGGGUGGCUUGGAGCCGCCCCUGGUGCCAGCGCCCCUGCUGUUGUGGGGUGGCUGCUGGGCGGUGUGGCGUGGCUGGCCGAAGGACGAUGAGGACCCGCCGGCAGCACCGCCGCUGGUGGCAAUGAGAGCAGAAGACGGCGCAGUGGAGCGGUGGGACAUGUUGAGCUCCUCCAUGAGCAGGUUCGCGUGCACGUCCAAGAAGCUGGGGAAGGGUAUGCUGCGAUGGAGAUGCAAGCCGAUGGUGGCGAAGUGCUCGUUGAGGCCACGGAUGACUUUCAGCACGAGGGUGCGAUCCCUCAUGUCCUCGCUAAGGUCCUGGAGAGCGUCCGCCAUGGACUUGAAGCGCCGGCAGUAAUCUGCAAUGGAAAGGUCACCUUCCUCGAAGGUCCGAAACUUGCCAUCGAGGUAGAGGGCACGCAUCUCACAAUUGCGGAGAAACUGAGUUUCAACAGCAAGCCAGGCGUCACGCGCCGUUGCACAGGCGGACAUGACCGUCUCGACGAGGUCGUUGGAGAUGGAGCCGUAGAUCCAAGACUUGACCACGCAGUCCAUGUGGGUCCAGUUCGGGAGGCCAGUGUUGGCGUCAUCAUUGAGGAUGUGGUCCUAGAGGGAGAACUUGCCGACCGUCAGGAGGAAUUGCUCCCGCCAGUGCAUGUAGUUGUCGGAGGCGAUGUCCAGCAUGAUGGGGAUGAGGCUUCAGAUGCUCUACAUGGCGGCGGCUUGAGCGUGGAGGCUGAGGACGGCCUCGUGGAGCAGCAUGGCGUCGUCGACGGAGCAAUGCUCGUGGUCGGAGACGGCAAACUUGGUUUCGUGGUCAUCUCCGAUAGGGAAGGCGGCAGCGGCGGUGCGUACUCGCAGGCAGCGCGAGCGUGCGCCUCACACACGCGAUCGGCGGCGGCGUCACGCUCUAGAGUACGUCCGCCGCCUCCUUCUCCACCUGUUGCACAUGAGCAAGGGCCAUGUCACACUCUGCGCAACACGCUCUGCACUUGGGUGCAUCAGCAUCCGCGACCGCGCGUUGCUUCUUAGCGGCAGCGCCGGAGCGAGGGGUGAGGGGAGGAGUCCCGGCCAUGGGUGGAUGCGCAGCCGCGAGGACGCGCUAGGGCAGCGGAAGGGUUGGAAUCAGGUGGAAGAUCCGGACUCGUGAUACCAUGAAAACGAGUAUGGUUCGAGAAAGAUUAGAUUGAUUUAGAGAGGCAGUUUUGUUUAUAGCAUUAGCACCAAUCAUAGGAGAUCCUUGCCUAACCUAAACCAUCCAUCCAACCUAGGAUGGGGCUGGCGCGCAGCCCAGGAGGCCUGUGCGGCUGCUACCCAAGGCCCAGAGGGCCGGCCAUAUAUGCCCAUGCUAAUAUUAUGCUCUUCAGGCUGCAUACCUUGCUGUGAUGCGGACUGUUAGUGCCGCAAACCGAUCCACUUAUGAUGCUCUCCUCAAUAUCUACGGAGAAAGAUGUGAACCAGAGGAGAAAUCACGUGUCUUAGGUUUGUGUACAUUUCUUUGACUUAGCUUGGACAGCAACAUAGAUUUUUAUUUAUGAGAUGGGUUAUCUGGAAAAUACAUUGACUCUUUGUUUCCAGGAUCCUUGUCUUCAUCUCCAGAUAAAGAUAUUGUUUUGGGAGGCAUUGAACUUUAUGUUUACUGAUGAGGUUGACCUCUAAACCAUUUCUAUUUACCAUAUAUCCAUAUCGUUAUCUUUCAAAAUGAUUCCAGAUAGUUACUGGUUUAAGUACUUCUUUACAAAACCCUGGUUAAUUGAACCAGUAGGCAUUAUGGCCCAACCACUAGCACACUGAUUGUCCUGUUUACAAAGGUGGUUUUGGUUUACAAACUUGAACUAGAUCCUUAAAAUAUUCCUUGAUCAAUCCUCCCCUUCCAAACAGGCCUUAAACUAAUACUUUUAGUAAGUAUUAUAGAUAAGAAUUAAGCUGAAGUAAAUUAUUUCCCUACACAAAUCAGCAACCUAGCAUUGCUCAGUUACCAAGUGGUAGGAGCUCCUUUGACUAUCUCCCUCUUGUGCAUGUCUCCAAUUCGGUUCCCCCAAGUAUGCUUUAUUUUCCUAUGCAUGCAGUAUGCACUGUAGUCUGGUAUUAACGUCAGCUUAAUGAACCCGUUUGUAGCAGUUUACUUGCUGGAACGAUAUUUUAGUCAGACCUGACUAGGGUUUCAUUUAGUUUCUUCGAAUGCCCAGUUCCAGCUUUCCAAGUUGAACUGUUGGUUCAUUUUUUUUAAAAAAAAUCAAAACAUGGUCUGCAUGAUUAUGUUUUUCCAAAUAUGCUUGAGAGCUGCGCAACUGUAUGUAUAAAACCUGAAUCUAAUCUGUUGCUUACUUAUUAGGUACGGAAUCAGCAUUCAUUUUAUAUCCUUGGUGGCAUUAGCUUAGAAGGACGUGAAGUUGCAUGGACCUGGCUGAAGGUAUUUCAUAGUUGUAGGACUUCUAAACCAGGUUUUUGUGAUAAUGUCCGAUAAGAUAUGCACUUAUUUCUGACAUAUUUAAAGGUUUGCAUCUACUCUCUUGAGAAAUUGGUGUUGCAUAUCAUAAAUCGUGUGAUGACAACUAAUGUUUCUUAAUACUUACAAUGUACAUGUGGAGAUGCCUUUCCUGCAUUAGAUGGCACAAUAGAUUUUCUUUUUCAAAGUCUUAUUACUUUUAACCACUUCAAUUGAAAACAUGCAUGCUGGUGCAUGUGCCCAAUUACAAGAAAACUGGGGUCAUGUGUUGAACACAUGGAAAUCGAGCGAGCUCAUAUCAGACUUCAUCGACUCCAUUGUCUCACCGGUAUACAAUGGAGAACAUUUAUCUUUGCUUUCUUCCCACUAUAUAUAUCAUCAUCCAGUUAGUAACAUUACCCUUCUUUAUUUAAUUAACGUGCCUGUUGUGCAUGGUCAGUUCACCUCUGAGGAGAAAUCUGCUGAGGUUUCGGAGUUCUUUGCCGGCCGCAUCAAGCCAUCGUUCGAGAGAUCGCUGAAGCAGAGCCUCGAGAGUGUGAGGAUCAGCGCGAGGUGGAUCGAGAGCAUCAGGAGCGAGCCCAGCCUUGGUGAGGCAGUGCAGGAGCUGCUCCAGGGCGAGGCGUAAACAUGGGCUCCAAAAUGCUGUUUCUUAGAGUGAAUCUCAUUGGAGUACGCAUGACAAUGCAUGCUCUUGGAAUUUGAAAAGGUUAUUGUGGGCGUCGUUCUUAAGUUGUAUUGGCAGUGGGUACGGUGCUAAAUGAUCUGUUGCAAAAAGAUGGAAGUCAUGACGUUUGUUUCAAAGGGUAAUGUGCCAAGCCCUGGACUAAUAACAAUUACCAUAACAUUAAUAAAGAAACAGAGUUUGUACAGGACUGGGUUUACGUUCACAUGGCAAAAGGUCACAUAAGUAGUUGAAACUAUAGUAUCAAUGGAGUACCAGGCAUAAAAAGAAAACGAUAUACAACAUAUAUGAUGAGCUACUGGUGAAUGCGAAGUGUCGUCAAUUAACUGAGGUCUGCGGCAUUGCAGAAUUUUCAUGUCGAAUCGUUAGGAGAGAUAAGAAUCGACUUUGAUUUAGGGACGAGUACGUUUACUACUGUUCAUCUUUUAUCUGCUAAGUUCAUGGACCUAUAUGGUACCUCGUGACAAGUUUAAGUUUAAGGAUCGUUACUGUAUUUUACUCUUGGUUAAGCAAGUACCUUAAUUUUCUUUUUUUGGAUGCUAAAGUCUUUUUUCUAUACUUUGUAGGACUGUUGUGAAUGGGUUCAUGGACAAUCCUAAUCCGAAUAGGUAGGUAUUCCUAUAACACAUGUAACUCUAUUUUCUUAAUCUAUUUCACAUGCAUAUACAAUGACUUUGCAAUAUUAUUCAACAACAGGUGGCCUCUGCCUGAGCCGCGUUGGCAUUAUCCUUCUAGUGUCAUCCGUUGCUAUGAGACACGGUACGCAUGACAAAGCAGUGAAUUCCUACGCGCUGGGGGAUCUACAAAUUGCUCCUGCUUAUUUAAAAGCGUUGUCAUUACCUGCAUGUAUGUCAGUCAUGGUUGUUAUGAUCUGAGUGGCCAAUCAAACUUCUGCGUCCAUAAUGUAAUUGACCUAAAGGCAAUGAAAGUUUUAUAUUACUGGAGUACUUAGUUUCUGCAAACACGGAGCCGUGUUCAUACACAGAGGAAAUAAACAGCUGGUUUCUGAUAAAACUGGGAAACAAAAGUACUUACACUCUGGAACAGCUUUGUGGCCACUCCGUUGGCUCGUGGUCUUUGAGCUUGUAGAACUGUCGCUAGUUGUUAUGAAUCCCACAAUUUAGUUGCCACCCCUGUCUACAUUAUUGUUAGCCACAGUGCGCGUCGGAUGAUAUCCGCAGCUAUAUCCACAACAUAUACUAUAUGCACAGCAAGACCACAAGCCAAUUCACGUGCUAGUUUUCAUUAAAAAAUAGCUUAAAAGAAUUGCAUGAUUCAAGCCGUUUCCCUAGAUCAAUGAAUCGCUAUGACCGCUUCAAAAAAUGAAUCGCUAUGAGUCCAAAGAGCUCGUCCCUUUUCUAGUUAACAAAAAAAAAAAGAGAGAGAAA